Molecule: long non-coding RNA, 2517 nt
Organism: Meriones unguiculatus (Mongolian gerbil)
Lineage: Eukaryota; Metazoa; Chordata; Mammalia; Rodentia; Muridae
Exons: 4
Source: RefSeq, a predicted model, not a curated record
CGGCCCGGCCGGGGCGGGGAGCGGUGUAAACACUCCGGAGCGUGCACCCGCGUGCGGGGCGCGCACGUGCGUCCGCCACCCCCUGCGGGCGUGGGCCGCCCCGGGCCUCGCGCAGCCCCACGCAGGCUUCCCCGGCGCGGCUGGGCCGUCGCGGGACGGCGCUCGCUCCGGGCUCCGGCUGCAGUUUCUCGGCUCGACGUCACGUUUUAAACGCUGCGAGCCCCGGAGGCUGCUUGACAAAAAGCCAGGCGGGCAGGUUCAGAGAAAUAAAACGUCUUCCACGGACAGAAAUGUAUCCGCGUGGACGUUGUGUGUGCUCAGGAGAUAAAGAUGGAAACGCUACUAAGCUGCCUCCCAUUUAAAAUAUAUAUAUUCCUUGCAAACGGGGCGACGCCGGGCUGCUCCGCACCGGCUUUGCGCUGUGGGUUGACGUGCGGGAGUGGGUAAUAGCAGACAUGGGAAAACAGAGCUGUGCAGCGGUGUGGACGCUUAGGGUAGACCGUCAGCCGCCGAGCCCUGCUCGGAACCCGGAAUCCCCGCGCUCGAGCCUGUGAUCACUGCUUCCCAUUCUGGACAACAGUUUCACUGCUCGGCAAAAAGAAUACACUUGUUCCCAGAGGUGGCCCGUCCCCUCUCCGGCCACGCAGUAGCCAGGUUAUUAACAUUGAACUGGGCUUCGAGUCCGGAUCAAACUUUGGCUGGUUUCAGAGCAGAUUGCAGCUGUAAGCGUGUUUUAUUCUGAGGCCUUUUGAGCUUUGCUAUAUGCACAGUCAAAGGAAACUUGGAGAAAGGAAGAAAGCUGGCGUGAUAAGAUACCUGUGGAGGCCAAAGAGUGUCCAACCCUCUACAACUGGAGUUACAGGCAACUGUGAGCUGCCAGUUGGGUACUGAAAAUCAACUCCAGCCCUCUCUGCAAGAACAGCAAGUGCUCUUAACUGCUAAGCCAUCUCUCCAGCACCUUGACCUGGCUUUUAAAUAUAAACUUUUCAACUGCUCUUCAGUGAAAGUAUGAAAACUAUGCCCACCAUUCUAUCAUAACCCAUGCUUCUGCAGUUUCAAUUUCUGUUUCUCCCAGGGACAACUGCCAAUGAACAUGAAAAAUGGAUGGCAUUGUGACUUCCCUCCAACCUGAACUGGCACAUUCAUCCUCCCACCAGGCACUGUCCCUCACACCGAUCAAAGGCUGAUCACAGUGAUUACUCAACAAGUAUUUGUUAGACCAUCAACGUCAUUAAUUCACCAAAUCCAGCAGGAAUAACGGAGAAAGACAGAGGGAGUUUUCUUUUUUUUUUUUUUUUUUUGGUUUUUUGAGACAGGGUUUCUCUGUAUAGCCUUGGCUGUCCUAGACUCAUUCUGUAGAGCAGGCUAGCCUUGGAUUCACACAGAUCCUCCUGCCUCUGCCUCCCUGAGUACUGGGAUUAAAGGCUGGCACUACCACACUCAGCUUUCACUUCUUUCUUUUCAGUAGUUUUUGUUUUGUUUUGUUUUGUUUGUGGUUGUAUUGCUAUUUUGAGACAGGAUUUUUGGCUAGCCUGGAACUCACUAUGUAGACCAGGCUAGCUUUGAACCCACAGAGAUCUUCCAGCCUCUAUCUCCCAAGUGACUGGCUUUGUAAAUUUUUGUUUUGUUUUUUAAACAGAGUCUCACUAUGUAGCCUAGGCUGACCUGGAACUCACUCUGUAGCCCAAGCUGGCUUUAAAAAGUGAUCUUGAGCCAGGUGCAGUGACACAUGUCUGUAAUCCCAGCACUCUAGAAGGCAGAGGUAGGUGGAUCUCUAUGAGUUUGAGGCCAGCCUGGUCUAUAAAUGAGUCUAGGACAGCCAAGACUACGCAGGGAAACCCUGAAAAAAAAAAAUGGAGAUUUGUUUUUAUUUGCUUCUCAAAUGAAGGGAUUGAGGGUAUGGACCACCAGCAUCCAGGAGAGUGGGCCCCCUGCCUCCCUUGAGGAGCAGAGUAGAGCUGGCCCUGGUGGUAUGGAUGCAAUGAGCUGGUUUCAAGGACAUGAGAGUGGGAGAGCUGGCCCUUACUGACUGAGGCAUUGGGUGAGCUAGUCUGGGCAGUGCUGGAGAGCUGGCCCUGGUUGGGUGGGUGAAAGAAAGCUGGUAGGCUGACCAACUCAGCUACUCAGAUCCAGGGCUUUGAGAUGGCCCACCCCAAUAUCUACUUCAUCUAUGAACUGUUGGAGCACACGAAGGGCCUGGUCUGCAGAGCCAAAGCUGUGGGAUCUCUGGGACUCUGAGAGGAGUCCCGAUGAGGAUCCAGAAUUGAUACUGUAGCAGAAGCAAGAGGCCUGGAACCAGACCAGUGACUCAUUGCAGUGAACAUUUGCAAGUAAAGAUAUGUGGACAAAAGGGUAUUUUUGUGGAACACACUGUGACACAGCUUCCAUGAUGAUAUUUUGAUAUGGUUUGGUUUUUUGUUUGUUUUUGUUUUGUUUCUUUUGGAGGUGAGGUUGCAAGAGCAGAAGGCAGAUACAAAGAAGCAGAGAGAGGGGUGGGAUUGGGGUGCAUGGGGUGAA